Molecule: long non-coding RNA, 8829 nt
Organism: Taeniopygia guttata (zebra finch)
Lineage: Eukaryota; Metazoa; Chordata; Aves; Passeriformes; Estrildidae
Source: Ensembl
AAAUAAGUCAGGGAUUUUAUUAAAUAUUAAUUCUAUUAAUUCACAGCAAAAAACUUUGUUUAUUAUUGUAUAUUAAAAAUAUAUUUUCUUUAUUCUAAAUCAUUUCUCCACAGACACAGUACAACUUGUCAAUGCCUGUAAAGAUCUUUUAGCUUGCUAGAAAUGCCUCAAGCACAAAGAGCAGUAAAAUAUUUUUUACACCAUAGACUUAGAUCUCACCACAUUUAACAAAAUAUAUUAAAAUAAUGAUUUACAAUGUGCUUAAAAGAGAAUGGUAAAGAACACAUUUACUUUUAACCAGCAAUAAUUGUCAAUGUACCAUUGAAAGACAUCAAAAGACAUUAAAAACCUUGUGCAAUUAAAUUUGGUAGAUUCUGUGAACUGUUUUAAGAGCACAUUACCUGUGCCCAGUGUUCACAAAUCAGUACGUGAAGCAGAAGGAUGCUAGAAGUACACUUCUGCAUACACACAAAAAUAAAACUCUCUUAUUCCAGGGUUCCUAUAGGAAUUACAAAAAUAAUUGCAUUAUCAGUAUACAAGUUGUGUACAUUAGAGUUGCAGACAUAACAAUGACCACUCUCAUGGUUUUCUGAGUCCCUUAUACACUUUCUGGGUGAGGCACAGGGUUUUGGCUCCUCUUCUGGGCUAUGGGUUACCUCAGCCCAAAGAACUAUCAUCAGCUGCACUGCAAAAUCACAAUAAGUCUUAGACUGUAACUGUUUGUUUCUUUCUCUUCUAGAUGUCUCCAGAAAUCAAUAAAAAACAUAAGCUUUCUACUUUAGGGACAUUCAUCUCUAGCUAUAUAUUUCUAUUAAACCUAAUCUCCAUACGUGCAACAUCAAACAUCUAAACAGAUCCAGUGUAUUCAAUGGGUUACCAUCCUCAUGGGAUAGACCUUCUGCUAUCCUUAUUAAAAGCUCAUAUUUUUGGUACCUCCUGCCUAUGUUGUGAUAGCAAAAGGCUUGAAUGCCUCUUACAUCUAAUUCCAUAUAUAAUUUCAUAGUAAUUCCCCUUUUAAAGAUUGUCUUGCAAAAGAGAUCAAAGCAUCAUGCAGAGAGGUAUUUGCAUUUCAUCUAUGUGUAUACAAUAGAAGGAUUUUUUAAAAAUGUAAAAAAGGCAGCAUUUUAAUUUCUGAUUUUACAGAAACUAAAAUGGUGAUUAAUACAUACCAUUAGAACUAAGGAAGAGUUUCCUAUCAUCAUUAAUAACUGCCUUCCUUCUCUGUGGACACACAUUCACUUGGGGCAAUAUGAGUACACACACAGAGAACCAGAAACUCCCUUCCCACUGUCAUCUAAGUUUCACAAAAGUUCUUAUCCAAAGGUCAGCUGCCAAUCAGUAUAUACAUAUAUACACACAUGGGUCCUUGGUGGGAAUAAAUUCCAAGUUAGCUGGCUACAAGAGCAUAUAGGUACUUGAGGUAAAGAAGAAUAAAUCUUUCUUAUUUGUUCUUUUGUCCUUCCUGGAUGAUGGGAUGCUUAUAUGUCCUGAGUUCCAGUAUGUUUCAACAGUAAAUUGUGACAUAUAAAAGACAGAGAUAAAUUUUAAUUAGAAUAUCUAGAAAAUAUUAGAAUGCCUCUGCAUAGCAGCCACCAACCUCUAUUACAUCUUGACUGUCAGGUCUUACAGGUCUUAAAAUCAACUAAAGCAGUAAAGGAAGAGGCUUUGCAGGGUAAUUUCAAAGUUCUGAAUCUGUCUUACUUGGAAAUCACCAGCAACUUCUUUAUCUUUAUGAAAUCAUCUCUAGAAGGUUGUGUUUAGUUGAGACAACAAUUAUACAAGCUUCUGCUGCUGCUCCUUGUCCCUACAGAGAGAACACAAUACAGUAACUGCUUCAUGGCCUUCACUUAUUAAGCUGGAACUAAAAUGAAUGGAGAAGCUGUACAAUCUUCAGAAGAGUGGAAAGGCUGAGUGACAUCUAUGAACAUUCCAAAAGCUGAAGAAACAAGUACAUAUUUGGGAUCUGAGGCCAUUGUUUAGGACAAUUUACCUUAAAAACGUUGAUUUUCUGUCUUAGGAAGUUACAAAAUUAUUGAUAAUUUCACAAAUAAUUUCUAAUUAAAAAUCAGAAGCUGUUCCCCUUUCUCAGUGAAUCUACAAUGUUGUGAAGGCUUUUUCCAGCAGUGUUAUAGUAUACCCAGAUUUUUCCAGGCAGAUGUUUGAAAAAAACCAAGAAGGUGGAGAUUCAGUACUCUUACAAAAUCAGAGAGCACUGGUUUCGGAGCACUUGUAGAGAGUAACAUUUUCUCUUGGAACAAGAAAUGAGAAGCAUUCAAAAAAAUUUUAGAAAAAUUAAAGUGUGUCAAUACCUUGGCUCUUAUACCCUUAUUACUCUCUCAAUGAUUUAUGCAGGUGACAGCUUAUAAUAGUAAGAAGACAUAUAUUCCCUUGAAAAAAAUGAAAAGUACAAGAAAUGGUUUGUGUUGUUUUUGAAUGGCCUGGUUAUUGAUAGCGGGGGUGCCGCAGAGGUUGUUUCUGUGAGAAGCUGUUGGAAGCUUCCACCAUGUCCAGUAGAGUCAAUCCCUGAUGGCUCUGAAGAUGGACAUGCUGCUGGCCAAGGCUGGGCCAGUUAGAGAUCAUGGGACAACACACUUAAGAAGAAAAUCAAAACAAAGACAAAGUUUUGUUUCUAGUCAGAGAAGAGGAGGAGGUGAGAACAUGUGAGGGAAACAUGGAGACAUCAAGGUCAGUGGAGGAGGGACAGGAGGUGGAGAUUCCUCUGCAGGCCGUGGUGAGACCAUGGUGAAGCAGCUGUGCCCCUGCAGCCCGUGGGGAUCCAUGGGGGAUGCAGAGAUCCACCCACAGCCCAUGGGGAUCCACGGGGGAUGCAGAGAUCCACCCACAGCCCGUGGGGAAGGGGCCCAUGCUGGAGCAGGUGGAUGCCUGGAGGAGCCUGUGAUCCAGUGGGAGACACAGUGGAGAGAGGGGCCCUGCUUCCAGGCUGGAGCAGCUGUGCUCGGAGGGCUGCACCCCAUGGAAGAGUGGCUCACGCCGAAGCAGUUUUGGGGGGACUGUCUGCCCAUGGGAGGGACUCACGUGCCAGCAGUAUUGUCAGGACUGCUGUUUGUGAGAGUGGACCCAAGCUGGAGAAGUUCCCAGAGAACUGUCUCCUGUGGGAGGGACCCCGUGGCCUUACAGGGGAAGGACUCCACUCCUGGAGCAGCAGAAGAAAACCUCAGGUGAUAAACUGACCUAACCCCUGUCUCCUGCACUGGAAGUAGAAAGGAGGGAGGGGCUGGAGGAAGAUAAAGUGUUUUUAAGGGCCUCUCUUACUUCUCAUUUUCUUCCUCUGAGUCUGUUAGUAAUAAACAGUUGACCCUGUUUUGCCCUUUAGGCGUUUCCUCCCAGUCCUUAUCUAAAACCAUGAACACUUUGUUAGUAUUUUUUCUCUCCUCUGCCCAUCUGUGGCAGGGCAGGGUGAGCAAGCAACAUUCAUGGGCGCCUGGCGUUAGGCCAGUGUCAAACUAUGACAUGGUUUCACUUGGUACACUGGCUAUUCCUGCCCUAAAGAACGUUUUCUGUGCAAAUUUCUCCUGCUGCACAAUCUUAAAAGAAAAACCAAAAUAAUACGAUCAUAUACACACAGUACAGUACAAUACAAUAAUACCAUCAAUAAAAUCUUACAUUUCAAGAGUCAUAAAUUACCCAAUUAAUAAUUUUUCAGCUAUACUGACAUGUCAUAAAGAAAGGUUGAUGCUUCUCUCACUUGAUUACAUUUGAAACACCUAUACCAUAGACAUGGAACAGAAAUAUUCAAUGAGAAUAGAAUCAGAAUCAGAAACUUUAUUAAUAUGGGUUUAAAAAUCUGUCAUUUUUUGCACUACUAGACACUUCUAUUCAGGGCAUAUAAAAGCAUACAUUUUUACAAGCAAAACUAUCUGAAAAAUUCUUCUUUCUUGAGGAAGAUAAAUAGCUGAUAGCUUUUUAAAUUUAUUACUGAUUUUAGUAUACAGAUUUUUAUUAAAUUAACAUAAUAUAAAAUUACUUGAAUCACAGUAUAACUUAAUGAAAAUCCUUUUUUUGUGCAUGAUGAUAUUCAAAAGCAACUGAUUAUGUAUUGGCAGCAGAUUCAUAUACUUCAGCCUCUGAUAUCAUAUUACUAAUUUUAAUAACCAGCAAUGGUUCUAACCCAUGUAAUGAAUUGCUUAGUAGUAGAUAUAACAAAGUUUAAUCCAUGUUGCAACUACUUGAAAAAUAAACCCAACAGUACUAUAAUUUGAUAUGACAGUCAGGACUGCGAGUGUAAGAUCAUUAACACUUCACAGGUUAUACCCUGAAGUAAAUCUUACAAGAAGUUCACAUAAAUAAGGACAGAUUUACACAAUUAUGUAGUUAUGAAUAUCGCUGCAUUUCUAACCAUAAGUGAAUUCUUCUCAAUUUGCUGUUCAUUUGACUUUGAUAUGCAUAAAAACCGCAAUCCAACAAAAAACAAGUCAACCCAUUUUUUCUUUUUUCUUAUUUGGUUUCAGGACAUUUAUAUAUCAGGUAGAGGUGUAUGAACCCAGACAGUUUCAUCUUAGAGAAUUUUUGCUUGUGAAUGAAUUCAGAAAAGUUUCAUUUGUUCCACUUAGGUUUGCAUUUUUGCCUGUUGUUUUACUGGAAUGCUACAAAAGACUUACAAGGAGUUAAAGAAAAGUAAAAUGUGGCAAACAUAAGACCCUCUCUGGAAAAAAAAAAAGAAAAAGAAAAAGAAGAAACUGCUGAGAAUAAUAAUUUAAAAAAUUAGAUAACCCCUAUGGUGGUAACAUCAAUAUUUUUGAAUGUCUUUUAAAAUAAAAAAUGCAAAGACAAGGGAACUCUCUAUUUUGUCAAAGAGCUUUUCAUUGAUAUUUGAAACUGAACAACUAAAAAAUGUUACACUAGCACACCAUACUGAUCUUGUAAUUUACAUUAUCUUGUAAAAUUCCUCACCUCUGUGGAGCCACUGAUGACAUUGUUUGGGUUUUAUCUGAUAGGGAGAGAAGGGAAUUGGAAAGGUAUUAUUUCAGGAUAUUAUAAAUAACCCUACAUUAAACACAUAGCCUUGAAAGAUGGAGGGGGUGGAGGUUAAAUUUGCAGUGAUAAUGACUUUGUCACACUCAGACUUUGGGAACUAGUAGAUUUCAUCUCAUUUUUUUUUUGAAAUACACACACACACACACACACACACACACACACACACACACAAAUAGUAUUUUAUGCAACUGUUUUAACAUUUGUGGUUAUCACCAUUCUGAACUAUUUGACCUCACCAUUUUUUAACACAGCUCUUUCUUAUGAAACAUAAGAGGAACUGAUUGCUCAGAACUGUUAUAUGUGAAACUGUGAAAGACUGUAUUUUUAUUAAUCAGAAUUGAAACAUUUAUUUUUUGCACUCUGCUUUCAGAGAACUCACAUUUAGAACAGCUUGGUACAGUACACAAAACCAUUUCAUUAUUGCUUUCAACAUUUUGGAGCCUUUUGUUUUACAGACAAACUUCGUGUUACUUCACUGCACAAUAUACUGAAGGCUAGUAAUUAUUGGGACAUGUGGUAGGCGUUUAUCACCACUAAAAUCACACAACCCACUCUAUGAUCAAGAUAAAAUAGGGCAAGUGGUUCAAUUAAAGGCACAUUCUUUGGUGCACAACAAUAGAAGGCUUGUGACAUGGCAAGAUUUAGAAAAGACUCAAAUAUCUUUAAAACUACUUAUUAUCACCAGUUAAAACGUGCAUGUCUGACCUUUAUGGUAAUCAGUAAUACUCCAUUUGCACACUAUAGAACUAAAUAAGCUUUCUUUUAGACACAAAGAGUUACUUGUGCUGGCCUGCAGUUAACUUAGCUGAUCUCAGAGCUUAUGCUUGCAAUGAAUCAAUGGCUAUAAUGAUAGGCCAUCAUCUUUAUCAACCCAUUUAUGAUGACAGGAAGAAAACAGGACUGUAGAUUUUCCUGACAAAGUGGAGUAGUAUUUAAAUGUUGACUGCUACAUACAUCAGAUUAACAAGGUUGCAAAGUUACUGAGAAUCCCAUUCCCUGAGGUACAGAUUCACCCUGUGGUGCUAUUAUACCAUAAGGUAUAUCAAAGAUAAUUGCUUAGUUUAUUAUCCUGUUGUCUUUUAUGUCAACCCUUAAUUGUGAAUUCAGAAGCCUCUUGAUCUCCCUGUUCCUUAUGGACCUGUUAUUAACCCCAAUCAUUUUCAUUAGGAUUUUAUUACUAUUUUUAUUAUUAAAGUGCAAAUUUAAAAAAAAUGAUGUUUCCAAAUAAUCCACAACUCCUUCAUAUUGCUUCAGUAAAAGAGAAAUUUAUGAGAUAUUCAGUCAGCAUUGUAAAUACCCAUCUCUCAAGCUCUUUUCCUUCCUCUGAAAAGAUUUUGCAUAUCAAAGUUCAGAUUUUUUUUACUCAGUUACUUCAAUAUUCAAUUAAAUAGCUUGUAAACAUACAAAGAUUUCUGUGGUAAAAUCAGAUUAUUAAAGUUCUAUAUGACUUCAUAGAAUUAUCACAACAGGAAAGUGCAAAGGUGGCAAUGUCACUGCUGCUAUCUUUCCCCAUGGUCCUGAAGUAUGGUGGUCAAGCUUUCAUAUUUCUUGUGCUGCACUUCCAGAGAACAAUUUAAGAAAUAUUCCCAUAAAAUACCACAUGAAACCUACAGAACCUAGAAACAGUUAAAAAACUAUGGCCUGGCUAGUACAGAUAAGUAGUCAUUCAUAAUUCCUCCUAAUGUAUACAAUAUUAAUCUGUAUGUACCUAGAAAAUCUGACUACUUCCUAUACUUCAAAGUCAUUGCCUUUGCUACGAGGCCUAGAAAGUGCUUCAGGAUUCAUUAUGACAUGUGGAAUAUAUAAGCAAUAAGGCAUGACAGGGAGUGUGGUUAUCAUAAGAUAAUCACACCCCUGGUUACCUUAUUGCUUUUAUAAAAAGUCUUUGUUGGGAAGAAAAACUGUAUUUUUUACUUAAAGAUGAUAAAGUUGACAGUUUACAGUCUUGAGCAGUACUUUCUGCUAAGCUCAAUGGUUUAUAUGUAUUCAUCUACUCCUUUUUAAUGUGCAUCUGCCAAAACUGAUCCGAAGUCAUCAAUCAAAAGGAGUUUUCAUAAUUUAGUAUGUGUUCAACUGAUCCAGUUGGAAAAGAGCAACUGCAUGUCCCAGACAAUCUCAACAAUUUCAUAGUCAUUGACUAUUCUCUGGACACCAAUUUCUUUUCUCAGAAAUUAAAAAAAAAAGACAAUAAAGUGGCUUAACUAACAGUUAAUUGAUGUUGUAAACAUAUACAUUACAAGUAAGAGAGUUCAGCAACUGGAAUCCUUGGAUCUGUAAAUCAAGAAAAAGUUUCUAUCUGCCCCUGGUAGAUGUUAUCCCACAAAUUAAGGGUGACAACUUAAUUUAGGGUCCUAGAUAAACUACAAAAUCCCACUGCUGUCAUUCAGAUUUUAGCCUAAGGGGUCUAAUGUGAUCUUUUGGAUUUACAAACACCUGCCUUGGAUUAUGCCAUAUGUCUUCUGAGUGGCUCCAGGGGUGUAUGCUCUGUCCAGUACUCUGCUCAUUUCGUGGUUUAAGAAUGCAUAGGUGAACACAGAAAUAUGAAGGUUUGCAUCCAUUUACAAUUUAUCAAGUGUGAUGGCCAUGUUCUGAUUUUGGAGGCAUUUAGUGGUCUGGAAAGGGACAUAUGUAUGGGCUGAAUUUGUCCCUGGGCCAUUUAUGAAUAUAGGUAACACUUUUCACCUAACAUGAACAAGUCACAAAUUCAAUUGUUUAAUUUAAAUAAGUCAUUAUCACCACAUAUUCCAGAUUUAAGAGGCAGGGUUAGGAAUACUGUCAGUAUCCUGGAUGAAAAGGAAAAAUUCCACUAGCCUUCUAUCUUCCAAUAUUUGGUUUGACACAGUGCUCUCACUACAUAAAGAUGCAUAAAAUUUUGCUUCUUCCAACAAUUGUUUGAACUCUACCAUUUUGCCUUUACAUUUUAAUCAUACAGUGGUACUAUAUUUUCUUUUUUUUUCUCUGAAAUGUUGCUAGCUUGUAUUUCAACUAGAAAUUUGUUUCUUAAUGCAGAAUGGUAUGUUAAAAGUAUUAUAUAUAAAAUAUUUUAUAUAAAUAUAUGUAUGUACAUAUAUUAGGGUUACUCCCAAAAAAGGAAAACUAAAUUAAAUAUGCAUUUCUGAUCUAUUUCUUUAGAGGUCUAUAGACUGAUAACAAAAAAAUAAUAUAGUCUAUCAAAAAACAAUGAUACUAAUUACAAGUUAAUUUAAAGGACAUAACAGAAAGCAGUUAAACAAGUGUGGAUGCAACAAGAUAAUCUUAAACUAGUAAUUUUUGGCCAGUUUUAGAAUUUUUUUGACUAAACUUUAUAAAUAAUAAAUUUGAAGUGAUUUCACAAAUAACUUUGGAAGCAGGAUGGGUUAAAGUGAGAAUUGUGCCUACUCACUUCAUUACAAUUAAAUGGAAAGAGUAAAAUGUUAAAAAGGAGUAAAGAGAAUAAACUCUUUACUCUCAGUAAAAGAUAAGUAAACUUUAGCUGCUUUGUCCUUAUAGCUGUUAUUUUUAAAAUUGCUGCUAGUAAAAUUACUGUCUAAUGGUUCCUAAAAGCAUUCCUAGUAUUUUCAAGAGGUACCAACAUAUAGGUACUGACCUCUGUUAGCACAUUUGUGUUCAAAAAAGAAAAUUUUGCUCCCAAACACUUAUUCCACAUUUUAGAUUAAUUCUUCACUAAUUAAAUGGGAACCUGAAUGUGCCAGGGAUACCAACCUGAAUCAGACUAAUUUGGAGCAAUGCUGUUUAGGAGUUUUGACUGUAUUUCAAGCUAUAGAAAAGGUUAUGCAUGCUGAGUCAAUCUUAAUUGUGCUGGUGUCUAAUUUGAGUUUUACUUGUGGAUAUAAG